This 497-nucleotide ribosomal RNA is filed under the name uncultured bacterium. Its description in RNAcentral is "partial 16S ribosomal RNA". It matches the Rfam family "Bacterial small subunit ribosomal RNA", at positions 28 to 507 of the family's 1533-position model. The record is from RNAcentral.
GAUGAACGCUGGCUGCGUGCCUAAUACAUGCAAGUCGAGCGAACAGAUAAGGAGCUUGCUCCUUUGACGUUAGCGGCGGACGGGUGAGUAACACGUGGGUAACCUACCUAUAAGACUGGGAUAACUUCGGGAAACCGGAGCUAAUACCGGAUAAUAUUUCGAACCGCAUGGUUCGAUAGUGAAAGAUGGUUUUGCUAUCACUUAUAGAUGGACCCGCGCCGUAUUAGCUAGUUGGUAAGGUAACGGCUUACCAAGGCGACGAUCCGUAGCCGACCUGAGAGGGUGAUCGGCCACACUGGAACUGAGACACGGUCCAGACUCCUACGGGAGGCAGCAGUAGGGAAUCUUCCGCAAUGGGCGAAAGCCUGACGGAGCAACGCCGCGUGAGUGAUGAAGGUCAUCGGAUCGUAAAACUCUGUUAUUAGGGAAGAACAUACGUGUAAGUAACUGUGCACGUCUUGACGGUACCUAAUCAGAAAGCCACGGCUAACUACGUG